This 652-nucleotide ribosomal RNA is filed under the name Salmonella enterica. Its description in RNAcentral is "partial 23S ribosomal RNA". It matches the Rfam family "Bacterial large subunit ribosomal RNA", at positions 532 to 1190 of the family's 2925-position model. Lineage: Bacteria; Pseudomonadati; Pseudomonadota; Gammaproteobacteria; Enterobacterales; Enterobacteriaceae. The record is from RNAcentral. RNAcentral also lists the same sequence under 1 other name.
AACGGAGCGAAAGCGACGUUCAACCGCAAAAGAAGCAGAGGGGGCUUAGUGGUGGGGUGACUGCGUACCUUUUGUAUAAUGGGUCAGCGACUUAUAUUCUGUAGCAAGGUUAACCGAAUAGGGGAGCCGGAGGGAAACCGAGUCUUAACCGGGCGUUAAGUUGCAGGGUAUAGACCCGAAACCCGGUGAUCUAGCCAUGGGCAGGUUGAAGGUUGGGUAACACUAACUGGAGGACCGAACCGACUAAUGUUGAAAAAUUAGCGGAUGACCUGUGGCUGGGGGUGAAAGGCCAAUCAAACCGGGAGAUAGCUGGUUCUCCCCGAAAGCUAUUUAGGUAGCGCCUCGUGAAUUCAUCUCCGGGGGUAGAGCACUGUUUCGGCUAGGGGGCCAUCCCGGCUUACCAACCCGAUGCAAACUGCGAAUACCGGAGAAUGUUAUCACGGGAGACACACGGCGGGUGCUAACGUCCGUCGUGAAGAGGGAAACAACCCAGACCGCCAGCUAAGGUCCCAAAGUCAUGGUUAAGUGGGAAACGAUGUGGGAAGGCCCAGACAGCCAGGAUGUUGGCUUAGAAGCAGCCAUCAUUUAAAGAAAGCGUAAUAGCUCACUGGUCGAGUCGGCCUGCGCGGAAGAUGUAACGGGGCUAAACCAU